CCUACGGGGGGCUGCAGUGGGGAAUAUUGGACAAUGGGGGCAACCCUGAUCCAGCCAUGCCGUGUGUGUGAAGAAGGCCCUCGGGUUGUAAAGCACUUUCAGUGAGGAAGAACGCCUGGUGGUUAAUACCCAUCAGGAAAGACAUCACUCACAGAAGAAGCACCGGCUAACUCCGUGCCAGCAGCCGCGGUAAUACGGAGGGUGCGAGCGUUAAUCGGAAUUACUGGGCGUAAAGCGCGCGUAGGUGGCUUGAUAAGCCGGUUGUGAAAGCCCCGGGCUCAACCUGGGAACGGCAUCCGGAACUGUCAAGCUAGAGUGCAGGAGAGGAAGGUAGAAUUCCCGGUGUAGCGGUGAAAUGCGUAGAGAUCGGGAGGAAUACCAGUGGCGAAGGCGGCCUUCUGGACUGACACUGACACUGAGGUGCGAAAGCGUGGGUAGCAAACAGGAUUAGAUACCCCUGUAGUC
This 465-nucleotide ribosomal RNA is filed under the name Vreelandella stevensii. Its description in RNAcentral is "partial 16S ribosomal RNA". It matches the Rfam family "Bacterial small subunit ribosomal RNA", at positions 338 to 795 of the family's 1533-position model. The record is from RNAcentral. Lineage: Bacteria; Pseudomonadati; Pseudomonadota; Gammaproteobacteria; Oceanospirillales; Halomonadaceae.